Molecule: long non-coding RNA, 1058 nt
Organism: Oxyura jamaicensis (ruddy duck)
Lineage: Eukaryota; Metazoa; Chordata; Aves; Anseriformes; Anatidae
Exons: 2
Source: RefSeq, a predicted model, not a curated record
AAGAUGACAUCCUUAUUCACAUUGAAGAGCACCUGCACUGAUGAACUGAAUUCAGUGAAGCCAUUUGUGAAGUGAUAUAUUCACCAUCUAUGAAGGAUCUAAUGUUCCAAUCAUUUCAUAUAACCUGCAGUUACACUCCCAGUAUCAGGGGCUGGUUCAUGUCAUUAUUAAUGGAAAUAUUAUGCAGUAUGCCUCUGCUUGACAUUCAAGUCAGGUUGAAGCUCACAUUCUCGAGACCAUUUGUAUGCGAUGACUACCUGCACAUGAUGUAGCUCUUCAGUAACCCGUGUAAAAUGCAUGUGAACACACAACACAUAGGCAGAAAGUCUGAGACUUUUCUGUAUCUUCCAUUGAUGAUGCUCAACUCUCAGAGAAAAACUUCUAGAGGAAAAGGAACAAUGGCCAUCUCCAUGGCCAUUCAAGCAUUGGUGAAAAACACUGCCAACAAAAUUUCUGGUUGGUGUUCUCAAUAGUUAGAUAUAUUGUGGGGGGACAGGAUACAUACAGUUAAUUCAUGAAACACAGUGCUGUGAUCUGCCAUCAUAUAAUAUUUAGUCACUAGCAAUGUGAUCCAAAAGUAAACCAAUGAGUCAGAAGCAGAAUGCUUCAUAACUCACCACUAGCUGCUGAAUAAUGUCUUUCAAGCCUAAUAACAUCAGAACUCUUCACACAACAUUUUUAAAGUAACACUGUUUGUUCAUUGCGUGGUUACAUCUGACCCUUAGUGGGACACUACUUAUGUUACUAAUAGUUUUAUUGACACUUGAAGAAUAGCUGUUGUAUCAUCUAAAAGGAUCAUUUGUCAGUUAAUGAUUGUUCUGUUCUGUAGCUACAUUUAUGUUGUUGCAAAUGUUAUGCUUUCACAUUGGAAACCACUGCAGUUUAUACCAUUAUAGCAAACGCUGCUUGAGGGAAUUGUGGAACAAAGAUGACAAGACAAUGACUUCUCUCUGCGCACAUGAACUGUACAGAUCAAGUAUUUCCUUUGCUCCAAGUGCAGACCUCAGGGAAAAAAAAAAAAAAAGAAAGAAAAAAAAAAAAAAAAGGAAAAAAAAAAA